This 396-nucleotide ribosomal RNA is filed under the name uncultured bacterium. RNAcentral's name for it is "partial 16S ribosomal RNA". It matches the Rfam family "Bacterial small subunit ribosomal RNA", at positions 523 to 918 of the family's 1533-position model. The record is from RNAcentral.
AUACGGAGGGUCCGAGCGUUAAUCGGAAUUACUGGGCGUAAAGCGCGCGUAGGUGGUUCAGUCAGUCAGAUGUGAAAGCCCCGGGCUCAACCUGGGAACUGCACCUGAUACUGCUGAGCUAGAGUACGGUAGAGGGCAGUGGAAUUUCCGGUGUAGCGGUGAAAUGCGUAGAGAUCGGAAGGAACACCAGUGGCGAAGGCGACUGCCUGGACUGAUACGGACACUGAGUUGCGAAAGCGUGGGUAGCAAACAGGAUUAGAUCCCCUGGUAGUCCACGCCGUAAACGAUGUCAACUAGCCGUUGGGGGACUUGAUCCUUUAGUGGCGAAGCUAACGCGAUAAGUUGACCGCCUGGGGAGUACGGCCGCAAGGUUAAAACUCAAAUGAAUUGACGGGG